Camelina sativa (false flax) is the source of this 184-nucleotide non-coding RNA. Lineage: Eukaryota; Viridiplantae; Streptophyta; Magnoliopsida; Brassicales; Brassicaceae. The record is from RefSeq and is a predicted model, not a curated record.
AGCACAUGCUGCGUCAUUUGCUCAGUUUAAGGUCCCUGGGAAUGAAAAUCCUUCUAUUCUUAUAUCCUUUGCAAGCAAGAGCUUUAAUGCUGGGCAGAUAACAUCAAAGUUGCAUGUCAUUGAGCUUGGUGCCCAACCAGGAAAACCAUCAUUUACUAAAAAGCAGGCAGAUCUCUUUUUCCCU